This 1602-nucleotide long non-coding RNA is filed under the name Homo sapiens (human). RNAcentral's name for it is "HSALNT0402832". The record is from RNAcentral. Lineage: Eukaryota; Metazoa; Chordata; Mammalia; Primates; Hominidae.
GGUCACAGUGACCGCCACCGUUGCCAAGGGAUGGGUCCCUGAGACUUGGCGAAGUGGGAGCCCUGUGUGAUCGUGCGUCAGAGUCGGGGCUGAGACCAGCCCCGGCCAGGGUAGUUACCGGGACGGUCUCCGGAGGCCGGGAUUCGCGGAGGGUCCACCAGCAGGAAGAAACCCCAGGAGGAAGAAACCUCAGACAGAUCGCCGGGGAGGCAGCGCGGGAUCCCAGCCUCAGGCGUGCGCGGACGGUGUGCGGGUCAGCCAAAGAGGAGCAAAGAGUCAUCUACCUCAAUCAUGUUCAGGAAAUGAUCAGGUCAAGAUGUGGAGUGAGCAAGCUUUUCUCUUUUGUGCCACAUUUUCUGACCCAGUAUUUCAAGCUACCCAAGGUGCGAAAAAGAAAGAAGGCCGAAGGGAAGAAGGUGGUGCUCACCCUUGCUGUCUUGAAAAAGCAGGAGACCAUGAAAGUGGUGAAUCUUCCAUUUGAGAAAUUUGGCACUGGACAGGACAUUUUGGCAUUGGACAGAACAUCCAGCCCAAAAGGGACCUCACUUACUUUGUCAAAUGGCCCCAUUAUACUAGGUUGCAGCAGCAGAGAGCCAUCCUCUAUAAACAGCUAGAAGUGCCUUCUGUGAUUAAUCAGUUCACCAGGGCCUUGGACCACCAAACAGCUGCUCAAUGGGGGCCCAGUGCAAAAUGACGUGGAUGUUGUACCUCGUUCAAAGUGUUAAGCGUUUCAAGAUGGCAACAGCAGAGCAUUAGGCCAAGUAUGAGGUCAUUAUGUACAUGGGUCCUUGUGUGACCACACAGGUCACAGGAACAUGAAGCUAGACCUGAGUGUAUAUUCAGAUAGGUAAAUCUUACAGAUUUUUAAAACUCAAUAAAAGAAAAACUACAUUUCAUGUGUGAACACAAAAAUUGGAAUUAAAUUGGCAAUAGCAUUGGGAUUUGUGCUCAGAGUCACAGUUUACAUCUGACCACAAUUUCUAUAUGAAUUUUUUAAGAUAAAACAGUAAGAAUUUUAGAGAAGGUUUCUGAAAUUUAAAAAUUAUAAUAACAUAAUUAACUUUGAUAUUUUAAUUCCAUGUAAUUUAAAACAUUUAAUAGAUAUAUAAUGUUCCACUAUUAAUUUAACUAGAAGUAUAAAAAUAAAACAUAUAUAAUAAAAAUAUUCUACUGAUUUUUAAAUUAUCUAUAUUAUACUGAGUAAAAGAAAAUUUAGGAAUAUAAAUAAAUGAGCAUUUUUGAACAUGUAAAAAUAUUUUCUUGCUGUUUUUAGGAGACUUUUAGCAGGACAGGAGCUUACCUCUCAUCUACCUCUGCUUGGACAAACCAGUGAUGUGAUUUGCAAAUAGGCUGUAACUUCACCGAAAACACAUCACAGUAAAGAAAAGCAGUGACUUUCAGAGAAUUUGACCUAACUUAGAAUUUGUAAAAGAGAAAAGCAUUGUCCUUAUGCCUAAAGUACAUGACUGUUUCUUUUUAAGUUACAUGUAUAUUUACCUGACCAAUUUGUUUUACUCUGUAUUUUAAGUUAUCAGGUGAAAUGGUUUUGGAAUAAAUUAAUGAGUUGUUUGUUCUGAAUAAAUGUGCAUGUUACAAGUGCAA